This 438-nucleotide ribosomal RNA is filed under the name uncultured bacterium. RNAcentral's name for it is "bacterial SSU rRNA". It matches the Rfam family "Bacterial small subunit ribosomal RNA", at positions 30 to 507 of the family's 1533-position model. The record is from RNAcentral.
AUUGAACGCUGGCGGCAUGGCUAAUGCAUGCAAGUCGAACGAAAGCCCUUCGGGGCGAAAGUGGCGAAAGGGCGAGUAAUACGAUCGAACGUACCCCAAGGUGGAGGAUAGUGUCGGGAAACUGACGGUAAUACUCCAUGUGCUCUUCGGAGGAAAGCUUUGGCGCCUCGGGAGCGGCGAUCGUCCUAUCAGGGUAGUUGGUGAGGUAAUGGCUCACCAAGCCGAAGACGGGUAGCGGGGUGUGAGAGCAUGACCCGCCGCAUCGGGACUGAGACACUGCCCGGACUCCUACGGGAGGCUGCAGCGACGAAUCUUCCGCAAUGGGCGCAAGCCUGACGGAGCAAUGCCGCGUGUGGGACGAAGCGUCUUCGACGUGUAAACCACUGUCAGAAUCUAGGACACUGACCAGAUUCAAAGGAAGGGCCGGCUAACCUCGUG